This 199-nucleotide long non-coding RNA is filed under the name Elaeis guineensis (African oil palm). RNAcentral's name for it is "long non-coding RNA (EGUI_LNC031302)". The record is from RNAcentral. Lineage: Eukaryota; Viridiplantae; Streptophyta; Magnoliopsida; Arecales; Arecaceae.
UGAGUUAUGUCAUCAAGGUAUUAGUACUUAACCAAUAUAAAAAUUAAAUGAAGAAUAUUGAAUAUUUUCUGAACUUUUAUUAAAUUGAACCCUACCUUUAUCUUUAAAUCAUCUAACUUUCAUAUGGACAGGUGUAUUGUUACUUUCAUCUUUCAUUUAUUGAUUUUUUUUCUUUAAUAUUGUACUACUAUUGAGUGUC